UACAGAGGUCCCGAGCGUUGUUCGGAUUUAUUGGGCGUAAAGGGUGCGUAGGCGGCGGAGUAAGUUAGGUGUGAAAUCCCGGGGCUCAACCUCGGAAUGGCAUUCAAUACUGCUUCGCUAGAGUACUGGAGAGGAGGCUGGAAUUUACGGUGUAGCAGUGAAAUGCGUAGAUAUCGUAAGGGAGGCCGGUGGCGAAAGCGAGCCUCUGGACAGUUACUGACGCUGAUGCACGAAGGCCAGGGGAGCAAACGGG
This 253-nucleotide ribosomal RNA is filed under the name uncultured bacterium. RNAcentral's name for it is "partial 16S ribosomal RNA". It matches the Rfam family "Bacterial small subunit ribosomal RNA", at positions 524 to 776 of the family's 1533-position model. The record is from RNAcentral.